AGCAGCCGCGGUAAUUCCAGCUCCAAUAGCGUAUAUUAAAGUUGUUGCAGUUAAAAGCUCGUAGUUGAAUUUCGGGAUUGACGUGAUGGUCGUGCCUUACGGGGUAUGAACUGUUGCUGUUGAUUUCUCACCUUCUGGAGAAACUUGAUGUCCUUAAUUGGGUGUCUUGCGGAUCCAGGACCUUUACCUUGAAAAAUUGAGUGUUUAAAGCAGGCAUUUUGCUCGAAUACAUUAGCAUGGAAUAAUAGAAUAGGACGGCAUGGUUCUAUUUUGUUGGUUUCUAGGAUCACCGUAAUGAUUAAUAGGGAUAGUUGGGGGCAUUAGUAUUCAAUUGUCAGAGGUGAAAUUCUUGGAUUUAUUGAAGACUAACUACUGCGAAAGCAUUUGCCAAGGAUGUUUUCAUUAAUCAAGAACGAAAGUUAGGGAUACGAAGACGAUCAGAUACCGUCGUAGUCUUAACCAUAAACUAUGCCGACUAGGAAUCAGACGAUGUUAAUUUUUAAUGACUUCGUUUAC
RNAcentral lists this unclassified non-coding RNA (516 nucleotides) under uncultured Entrophospora. RNAcentral's name for it is "SSU rRNA". It matches the Rfam family "Eukaryotic small subunit ribosomal RNA", at positions 569 to 1084 of the family's 1831-position model. Lineage: Eukaryota; Fungi; Glomeromycota; Glomeromycetes; Entrophosporales; Entrophosporaceae. The record is from RNAcentral.